RNAcentral lists this long non-coding RNA (3234 nucleotides) under Homo sapiens (human). RNAcentral's name for it is "HSALNT0076435". Lineage: Eukaryota; Metazoa; Chordata; Mammalia; Primates; Hominidae. The record is from RNAcentral.
CUCUGGUGAGGGCACUGUGCUUCCGUCACCAACCACACUCUUUUCUGAUGGUCUUUCUCUUUGUUCCCUGAGAUAUUUCUUCCAAACCACCAUAUUAAGAGGUAAACUGAUUCUAAGAUUUAUGAGGAAUCACAAAGGGCCAAGAAUAGCAAUGCACACUUGAAGGAAAAUAAGGUCAGAGAGUCAAGUUACUAGUCAAAUAAUCGCCUAAAAAUUAAUUUACAAAUGGUAAUUACACUUAAUCUUUAAAGGAAAAAAACCAACACUGAAAGUAACAGAAUGGGAGCUAAAUGGGGAGAACUGCAAUAUCACCUCAGACACCAUGGCCCAGAACCAUCUGUGCUCAUGCAAGACCCAUAAUUGUGUGCUCCCCAUUGCCUAUCCCUAUCCCAUGAAUCCAAGAGGGCUGCCUCAACAGUAACCUGGAGUUGGGCUAUACACACUGUUACUGGCAAGGAAAUGAGGUAUGGAGAUAUCCAGCAAUCUUCUAAAUCAAUUAAGGAUUCACCACAAGAUACAGAGAGAAAAUCCAGGAUUUAUGACUGAAGACUGUUUAUUGGACUCAGUAGUACCUCAUGAUGCUGUCAUUAAUGUUUCUACAAUGCUUUCUCAUGGAUACAGAAUCCUCUUAGUCAACACUAUCAAUUGUGUUUGUCCUGUAAGUCAAUAAAAUAAUUUUAAAAGAUUUUUUUUAAGAGAUGGGGUUUCGCCAUAUUGCCUAGGCUGGUCUCAAGAAAUCUGCCUGCCUUGGCCUCCCAGUGCUGGGACUAAAGGCGUGAGCCACCAUGACUGGCCCAAAAACUGAUCUUUUUUUUUUUUUUUUUUUUUUUUUUAAUUGAGACGGAGUCUUGCUCUGUCGCCCAGGUUGGAGUGCAGUGGCGCAAUCGCGGCUCACUGCAAGCUCCGCCUGCCGGGUUCACGCCAUUCUCCUGCCUCAGCCUCUCGGAGUAGCUGGGACUACAGGCGCCCGCCACGACGCCCGGCUAAUUUUUUGUAUUUUUAGUAGAGACAGGGUUUCACCGUGGUCUCGAUCUCCUGACCUCGUGAUCUGCCCGCCUUGGCCUCCCAUAGUGCUGGGAAAACUGAUCUUUUAAGCCCAAUAUAAAGAAGGCCAAAGGAGGAAUGUUGCCUCUGCCUGGCUGUCUCAUCUGUGGUAGAGCUAAAAGUAAACAGAUCAGGGCCUUGGUUGGUGAAGACUCCACUUUAAAAGUUUCAGUUGAAUAUAGUUGAUUUUGGAAUAAGUCCAAAGAAGGAAGAAGGUUCUACUUCUGAGAUGGAAGCCCAUGAAGGCAUUAUGCCAGGAAAGAUUUUAAAAGCCAGGAAAUGAAUCAGGAUGGUUGUGAAUGGAGAAAGUCAAACACAUCAAUAAAUCAGGAGGGCCAGGCAGAUGAGAAACCAAAAAACGUAGCCAGCUUUGGCAAAUGCUCAUUACAAAUGAGAUUCCAGCCAGAUGAGCUGGUGGUUUAUUCAUUCACUCCAUUGUUCUUUUUAUCUAUGACAUAAUGGUUCAGUGUAAUUUCCAUAAAGCAAGACAUAUCUAUUCACUUUAGGUUGUUGUGUUCAUUAAAUGGAGAAAUCAUGUUUUCUAAAUUCUGACCUAUUGUUUGGUAUUGCACCUUUCGUGAACUCCAAAAAUAAUCUAAGAGGAAGAUCUUAAGCUUUAGUAUAAGUGGCAUCUUUUUUCAAGGAUGAAAAUUUAACAUGUAAGCUAGUGUUAAAUUCCUGACAAAUAUUCAUCAACAAAUGUACUUUCUACUGUACUCAAGACAAGAUGGUGUUAGGAGCUAGAGACUGAGCAUAUUGCUAAAUGGCCAUGGCCUUGAGAUUUAGUAAUGUGAAUUUAAGGGGAACAAGAAGUUCUCCAGUUCUCUACUCAAAUUAUUAUUGCUCAGAGCAAGCUAUUAGAUAUAAAUCUGAGAAACAAAAGAAAGACCAAUUAGAUAAUCUAUUUAUGCCUUGGAGAACUAAGCAAAAUGAGAAUGCUUCUAAUUUGUUUUGCUUGAAUAAACUCCAAUCAAAAGAUUGCCCUUUUGCAUGAUAACCAUAAUAACAUAGUAGACAGUUUUAUAAAUCUCACAUUUAUAAUUUGAAGUUUUGACAAGGCAUUUCUAAGUGGCAUUUCAGGAUUCUUAUCAAUUAUUUUAUUGACUGUAAAAUUACAUUUAGUGACUUGCUUAAGCUUUCUCUGCAAAUCAGGAUUUAGAAUCAAAUCCUUGCUUUACUUAAUAAUACUAUUUCUGAACACCAUAAAAUUUUUCCAAUUACAAAAAGCACUAUUUUAUCUGUUAUAUGGUACAGCUAUGGGCUGUAGUAAAAGCUACAGACUUUUUACCACUUUUCUUGGUCCUGAAGGAAAGGAGACAGAAGAUGUCCAUGUCUGCUUCAUAAAGCAUUAGAAAAGGUGAUCUUACAGAUGGAAAAACAUUCCAUUGAGAUAACUGUAAAAUUCAAAUCUAAUUAAACCCUGGCAUUGGGAGGUCUAUUAUUGCUUCUUCUUAUUUAAUGUAUAAUCAUUGAUAAAGCAAUACCUCUAAAAUGGGCCUUUGAAAACUAAACUUUUUUUUUUGUUUACUUUUUUUGUAACAAAAAGGUGGGGAAAUUUGAAAAGUUCGCUUCUUUGUAUGUUUAUGUGUAUGUUUUGAGUGUGUUUAAUUUCCUGCUUGUUUAGCUUUCUUUUAUAAUUUAAUUUUGCUGCUUAUGAUAAUACUGAGUAAUAUAAAGUACUUAGAAAAGACAUAUAGAUAUUUUUAAAUUAUAUACGUAGUCAUUAAAUCCUCACAACAACCCUAUGAGAUAAUAAAUUAUUGUCGUUAUUUUGUGAAUUGAGAAACUGAAGCACAAAUAUAUGUAAAUAACUUGUCCUGAACAUUCUUAUUUUAUAUUUCAACAGUAUCACUGAAAUUUGCUGUUCAAAUAUCACAAACUAUUCCUUGAAGGAUUUUCAUGUAAUAUAAAAAUAACAGGCUGGGGAAAUUCGCUUUCCAAUUAUUGAUUUUUAAGUUAAAACAUAAUUCCUGAAUUAAUUUAUUUGUCUUUCUUGAAGUUAGACAGCCAAUGUGUAUUUGAGUCUAGGAUGGAAUUCAAGCUAGGCAUUUUUAUAGAAAUUAACAUAUGCAAAUAUGUCAUUAUUUUAAAAAAUUUCCCUGCUAUAUAUAAAUAGAAAAGAUUUUUGAAUGAAGUAAACAGAUACAUUAACUGUCUUUCUUUUUCUUUCCCUCUAGAUAUUGAUUUUUC